AGCGAACGCUGGCGGCAGGCCUAACACAUGCAAGUCGAGCGAACUCUUCGGAGUUAGUGGCGGACGGGUGAGUAACACGUGGGAACGUGCCUUUAGGUUCGGAAUAACUCAGGGAAACUUGUGCUAAUACCGAAUGUGCCCUUCGGGGGAAAGAUUUAUCGCCUUUAGAGCGGCCCGCGUCUGAUUAGCUAGUUGGUGAGGUAAAGGCUCACCAAGGCGACGAUCAGUAGCUGGUCUGAGAGGAUGAUCAGCCACAUUGGGACUGAGACACGGCCCAAACUCCUACGGGAGGCAGCAGUGGGGAAUCUUGCGCAAUGGGCGAAAGCCUGAUGCAGCCAUGCCGCGUGAAUGAUGAAGGUCUUAGGAUUGUAAAAUUCUUUCACCGGGGACGAUAAUGACGGUACCCGGAGAAGAAGCCCCGGCUAACUUCGUG
This 433-nucleotide ribosomal RNA is filed under the name uncultured bacterium. Its description in RNAcentral is "partial 16S ribosomal RNA". It matches the Rfam family "Bacterial small subunit ribosomal RNA", at positions 29 to 507 of the family's 1533-position model. The record is from RNAcentral.